GUCCCGUUCGUCUCAGGUGGACACCGCCCUUUCACGGCGGUAACAGAGGUCGGUGGUUCGACUCCCCUACGGGAUACCA
This 79-nucleotide transfer RNA is filed under the name Vibrio harveyi. Its description in RNAcentral is "tRNA-Glu". It matches the Rfam family "tRNA". Rfam says of the family: Transfer RNA (tRNA) molecules are approximately 80 nucleotides in length. The record is from RNAcentral. Lineage: Bacteria; Pseudomonadati; Pseudomonadota; Gammaproteobacteria; Vibrionales; Vibrionaceae.